Molecule: long non-coding RNA, 376 nt
Organism: Magnolia sinica
Lineage: Eukaryota; Viridiplantae; Streptophyta; Magnoliopsida; Magnoliales; Magnoliaceae
Exons: 3
Source: RefSeq, a predicted model, not a curated record
CGGGAUCAGAUUCAUCAAGUAGGUUAUUAUGUUGAUGUUGAUACAACAGACAGGAGGAUCCAAAAGAAGGUGGCCUUUGUCUUAUGCAUAACCUGAUGUGUCAUACACAUGACGUGAAUGGGGUUUCAUCUGCAGUGCACAUGCAACUGGUUGUAGGUGAUCAUUCCUACUAGUAUUGAAUUGACUGUAAUGAUGGUUGUCUUUAAAUAAUCCCAGAAAGUUCAGUGCAUGAACUCUCUCAGAUGUUUGUCCAAGAGCUGGCUUUGAAGCGAAUAAUAGCAAAAAAUGCUCUGAACCAUGAGUGGUUUAGUGAGGUCUCUCUACCCAAAUUAAAAGAUUUUAUGCCUACAGUUCCUGUUUAACAUGCCCAAAACAG